CGUUAUGGGUGACGGUGCGUGGGAGCCUUCGGGCUGCCGGUGUCCAUUCUGGCCGGUCUGCUAACCCGCGCAUCGUCUCCCACCCCU
Molecule: non-coding RNA, 87 nt
Filed under: Salinicola sp. MIT1003
Lineage: Bacteria; Pseudomonadati; Pseudomonadota; Gammaproteobacteria; Oceanospirillales; Halomonadaceae
Source: RNAcentral